Molecule: long non-coding RNA, 324 nt
Organism: Fukomys damarensis (Damara mole-rat)
Lineage: Eukaryota; Metazoa; Chordata; Mammalia; Rodentia; Bathyergidae
Source: Ensembl
AAUGGGUUAGGGUAAACACUGUUGAAAGCACUUUUCAUCUCUUGCCCAUUUUGGAUUGAACAAACUUAAAUGCAAAGAGCAAAAUAAUCAAGGAAGAGGGAAUAUGAUUGUCCAGGACUCACAGACACAUGAGCCCUGUCAACCUCAGGAGAUCAUUGAGAAAACCAACUGAUUUAAGUUCAUCUGCUGACACCGUGGGAGGAGACAGAGUGUGCAAGGGGCUCGGGAGGUGGACAGCUACCUCAGGAGAAGGAGAAAUAAGAGUACAGGUGAGUAGCAGCUGUGGCUAAUCCAGCAUCUGUUCUAGAGCAGACAGUUGAAGCC